This 334-nucleotide ribosomal RNA is filed under the name Laparocerus lauripotens. RNAcentral's name for it is "partial 12S ribosomal RNA". Lineage: Eukaryota; Metazoa; Arthropoda; Insecta; Coleoptera; Curculionidae. The record is from RNAcentral.
GAUACCCUAUUAUUUUAAAAGAAAUUUAUUAAGCCUAAUUAGUAGUAGUUAAGAUCUUGAAAAUUAAAGAAUUUGGCGGUAUUUUAGUCUAUUCAGAGGAAUCUGUCCUAUAAUUGAUGAUCCACGAUUUUUGUUACCUGUUUUUUAUAAUUUACAUAUCGUCGUAGUUUGAAUAUUUUUAGAAAAUAAUAAUAUUCAUAAAUUAUUUUUAUAAAAAAAAUCAGAUCAAGGUGUAGUUUAUAGAUAGGUUGAGAUGGAUUACAGUAAAAAUAUUUAUUAUGGAAUAAUAAUUGAAAAAUUUUUAUGAAAGUGGAUUUGAUAGUAAUUUUAUUUA